GGGACCGGGAGUGCUAAUGUCUUUUCUCCUCUCAUCUUGGAUGGCGCUCCUUAUUGGAUCCCAUCGCGACUGAAUCGGCAAGAGUAUCAUUGAUCAAGGCCUCUUCUAUGCGGGCAUACUUUUCUGUACGGACAAGCAUAUUUGGGAGAUCCUGAGGAUAAGUCUUAAUUAAUGACUUUUUCAAGUCAUUUUUCAGUAGAUCGCUCAUCAUUGCGGCCAUCGCGGUUGAUUGAUCCAGAUUUUGGACCUCCAGGAUCG
This 258-nucleotide long non-coding RNA is filed under the name Elaeis guineensis (African oil palm). Its description in RNAcentral is "long non-coding RNA (EGUI_LNC056074)". The record is from RNAcentral. Lineage: Eukaryota; Viridiplantae; Streptophyta; Magnoliopsida; Arecales; Arecaceae.